This 178-nucleotide ribosomal RNA is filed under the name uncultured bacterium. RNAcentral describes it as "partial 16S ribosomal RNA". It matches the Rfam family "Bacterial small subunit ribosomal RNA", at positions 338 to 524 of the family's 1533-position model. The record is from RNAcentral.
CCUACGGGAGGCAGCAGUGGGGAAUAUUGCACAAUGGGCGCAAGCCUGAUGCAGCGACGCCGCGUGGGGGAUGAAGGCCUUCGGGUUGUAAACUCCUUUCGCUAUCGACGAAGCCACUUGUGGUGACGGUAGGUAGAUAAGAAGCACCGGCUAACUACGUGCCAGCAGCCGCGGUAAU